UACGUAGGGUGCAAGCGUUGUCCGGAAUUAUUGGGCGUAAAGGGCGCGAAGGCGGCAUGGCAAGUGGAAGGUGAAAUCCCUCGGCUUAACCGAGGAACUGCCCUCCAGACUGCUUUGCUUGAGGCCGGGAGAGGUGAGUGGAAUUCCCAGUGUAGCGGUGAAAUGCGUAGAUAUUGGGAGGAACACCAGUGGCGAAGGCGGCUCACUGGACCGGUUCUGACGCUGAUGCGCGAAAGCGUGGGGAGCGAACAGG
RNAcentral lists this ribosomal RNA (253 nucleotides) under uncultured bacterium. RNAcentral describes it as "partial 16S ribosomal RNA". It matches the Rfam family "Bacterial small subunit ribosomal RNA", at positions 524 to 776 of the family's 1533-position model. The record is from RNAcentral.